RNAcentral lists this ribosomal RNA (467 nucleotides) under uncultured bacterium. Its description in RNAcentral is "partial 16S ribosomal RNA". It matches the Rfam family "Bacterial small subunit ribosomal RNA", at positions 28 to 507 of the family's 1533-position model. The record is from RNAcentral.
GACGAACGCUGGCGGCGUGCUUAACACAUGCAAGUCGAACGGAAAGGCCCUGCUUUUGUGGGGUGCUCGAGUGGCGAACGGGUGAGUAACACGUGAGUAACCUGCCCUUGACUUUGGGAUAACUUCAGGAAACUGGGGCUAAUACCGGAUAGGAGCUCCUGCUGCAUGGUGGGGGUUGGAAAGUUUCGGCGGUUGGGGAUGGACUCGCGGCUUAUCAGCUUGUUGGUGGGGUAGUGGCUGACCAAGGCUUUGACGGGUAGCCGGCCUGAGAGGGUGACCGGCCACAUUGGGACUGAGAUACGGCCCAGACUCCUACGGGAGGCAGCAGUGAGGAUAUUGCACAAUGGGCGGAAGCCUGAUGCAGCAACGCCGCGUGCGGGAUGACGGCCUUCGGGUUGUAAACCGCUUUCGCCUGUGACGAAGCGUGAGUGACGGUAAUGGGUAAAGAAGCACCGGCUAACUACGUG